Molecule: ribosomal RNA, 377 nt
Filed under: Enterobacter sp.
Lineage: Bacteria; Pseudomonadati; Pseudomonadota; Gammaproteobacteria; Enterobacterales; Enterobacteriaceae
Description: bacterial SSU rRNA
Rfam family: Bacterial small subunit ribosomal RNA
Source: RNAcentral
UGUAAAGUACUUUCAGCGGGGAGGAAGGCGAUAAGGUUAAUAACCUUGUCGAUUGACGUUACCCGCAGAAGAAGCACCGGCUAACUCCGUGCCAGCAGCCGCGGUAAUACGGAGGGUGCAAGCGUUAAUCGGAAUUACUGGGCGUAAAGCGCACGCAGGCGGUCUGUCAAGUCGGAUGUGAAAUCCCCGGGCUCAACCUGGGAACUGCAUUCGAAACUGGCAGGCUAGAGUCUUGUAGAGGGGGGUAGAAUUCCAGGUGUAGCGGUGAAAUGCGUAGAGAUCUGGAGGAAUACCGGUGGCGAAGGCGGCCCCCUGGACAAAGACUGACGCUCAGGUGCGAAAGCGUGGGGAGCAAACAGGAUUAGAUACCCCGGUAG